This 3779-nucleotide unclassified non-coding RNA is filed under the name Hevea brasiliensis (rubber tree). Lineage: Eukaryota; Viridiplantae; Streptophyta; Magnoliopsida; Malpighiales; Euphorbiaceae. The record is from RNAcentral.
AUUUGUUUGUCAUCGGUGAAAAUAAGCACCAAAAUGCUCAAAUUCAUGUGGUAACAAGAAUUAUUUUCAUUGCAACAGUGAUUAGAUGCUCAACUUACAAUUUGAAGUGAAAGAAAGGGAUUGUUUUAAUGCUAUAAACACGAAUCAAUAUACACAAAGAAAAAGAAAGUGAAGUACAAGAUAGAUUAUUACUGUGCCAUUACAAGUCGUGUCCACCAGAGAUACCAAUCCAUAGUAGAAGCCUUCGCGGCCGGUCAAGAAAUCUAGCUUGCCAUGCAGGUUCAUCAUUUUCAUAUAUGAAGCCACUCUUUGUGUAUAACUUCUUUGCUGGCUCAUUCUCAGCGGCAACAUGGACAUAUAAGUCACUUAUGCCUGAAAAUAAUUCAACAAAUUUUGGUCUAAAAGGUACAAAACCAAAAAGACAGCAAACUCAGAUGUGCUCAUACUAAGCAGCAGAAAGACUUUAAAAGGCAUAACCAAUAGAUUAUACAGUUCAAAAUUUAAGAUAAAAGGUAGGCAUGUGUUGCAGCUGAACCCAUUACACCCAUUACGAUUAUAUUUGCAGCAAUUUACUAAGUUCUUACUAUUUUCACAAUUAUUACUUCAAUUUCCAAAAAUCAAAAGAUAAUGUUUUUUUGUGGAAUCUCAUGUAUAUCGAUGAACAGAAGGUAGUAUAGAUUAAUGAAGGCUGUGACUAACUACGAAAGUGAUGUUACUCACCCCAUUCUUGAGCUACUAUUUUUGACUCUGCGACAAGUUCAUAACCCAAGCCGCGCCUUUGCAGUUCCUUGGCAACACAUACAUUGCUCAGGUAUGCCCUCAUAAAAUCAGCUCCAAUACCCUGUUGAAGAAAACUUCUAAGGUAGCUCAAAUUUAUUAUCAUGAAAUUGAUAAAUCAUAUCAAAUUCCCAAUCAUAUAAAAUAAAUAACUCUCAGACCAGGAGUUGUUUUGUCCGACACUAGCCAACGGAAGUAGUCAAGCAUCAGGUCUAUAUCAAUGAUGUAAACAUACUCAUUGUUCACAAAUAUAUACAUGUGUAAUGCUCAACACAUACCAUGCACGGGACAAAUUCUCCAUGAAGAUCCAAGCAAGGUAGAAAUUCUUCAAGAUAAAGUAAUAAAUAUAACAUAUAAAGCAACUACUAGUACAUAGUUACGUACUCUUCAAAAAUACUGCUUGUAGCUAUGUAUGUUGCAAGUUAUUAAUAGAAAUUAUAAUUGCGAUUGAUAUAUAAAACUAAAAUAAAAGAAAUAAAAAAAAUACAUCUAACUACUACAAAUCAAUUAAGGUACUGCAAUCAAAGACAGUGAUUUUUAGAAGAAUUAUAUGAUUAUUUUUGAAAACUUUAAACAACGACAACUAAGCCUUAAUGUUCAUAUAAAUAAUUUUAAUUUCUCACACACAUGGUAAAGUAACUUCCCAUCUUUGAGCUGGAAAAUAUAUGUGGGAUCUAAAAGUUUAGAAAUUAAACUCUCCUAUGAACGUAAUUCUCACACAAACCAAAUACAAAAAUUUGACCUUUUUGGUCACUUUGCAGAUUCCAACAACCAAAACCCCCUAAAAGAGUGGGCUUUAAAGUUUUGUCCCAACUCCCACAUACAUUGUCUUAAAGUCCUACAAUAUAUUAAAUAGGAAAGAAUUUCCGCAAUUUGCCUUGACUUUUGAGUCCCAAAAAAGUAUAAACUCCUACCAACUCUCAAGACAGAAAAGACAUUAGCCUAAUAAUUGUUAUUAUUUUAUAUGAAUUUAAGUUUUUUAAGAAAAAUAAACUUAAGAAUUAGUAUGCAAUUAGGUUAUAUAUAUAUAUAUUGAAAAAUUUUACGAUUUAAACUGAACAUAAGAGAUAAAAUUGAACCAUGAAUUAAAUACCUUAAACAAAUAUAACAAAAAAGUAUCUAAAAAAAUUUAACACAUGAACAUUAAACUUCACCCACAAAAAAUCUAGCAUUCCUAUUAAAAUAGUUUAAACUGCAAUUUGAAUAUUAAUCAACUAAAUUCUAGCAAAUUCUUCAUUAAUAAGUUUAGCUUUUAAUUUUCAUAAGAACUCUAGUAGAAUAGGAAUAUAUUAUUAAUUUAAAAUUUCAUAUUUAUUAAAAUAUAAAUGGUCAAAGAACAUUUCAAUGAAUAAAAUGAAAUCUUAUUAUAAUUAGAAAUUUAUGUAGUAUAGAUUUCAUGUAUUUAAUAGGUUUAGGAUCCUUGGCCAACCAAAUAGGAAAUAAUAAGAAUUAAUUUUAUGUCAUUUACUUGCUUGGAGUAAUCUUUAAAUAUAUAAUUUUAUCUAUAUACUAUAAUGAAAUAUUAGUAUUAGAAUUUAUAUUUUAUAAAAAUAAACAAGAACAAAAUAAUAAAAAAAUAAAGUGAUUUAAUGUGAAAGUAGAAUUCUACUAAUUUUGAAGUCUUUUUUAACCUUAAGUUACUUUUAUUUUUUUUUUACUUCAUUCUUAUGUAAAGGGAUUUAACUUAAUUAUUGAUUAAUGAAUUAGUAAACUUAGUAAGUUUUAUAUGAUUUGUUAAAAGAAAAAAGCAUUAGGGUAAAUAAGAUCCCAUUGUUCCAACACCAAAACGGAUUCCAUUGCACCAAAACUACUAUAGCAAAGAUGAAAUAAAUAGGAUUAAAGAGGAAUUUGAAUAUAUUUAGGAAAUUAAUUCAUAAAAUAGUAGAAUUAAAAAUAUAACACUUAUGGAAACUCUAAAGUAAAAUUAGGAAUUCAAUAUUCAUAAAAAAUAAUAAAAAAAACUAAUAGAAAGUGGUAAAUAGUAGUGCAAUUUUAAUAUUGUAAAUUGAAAUAAUACAGAUACAUAAAGGGAGUAAACUAAUUAGGUAUACAUAUAGUAGCAUACACAAGUCUUUUAGUAAUUUUUUAUGUAUAUUAUCGAUUUGGUUUCAGCAGAGAACAAAUUACAUUGAAAAUAAACGCCAGUUGCCAUAAGAAACCAUAAUGCAAAACAUUGUUGAUGAUUCAAAUAAAAAGCAUGGGAAGGAUAAUUAUGGUAUAGUAAAUUGAAUCCAUGUUUAUGCUCAUGCUUCUCAACUUACCCAAUGCAAGAUUAUAACAACUAAUAUUUUGAUUACAGUGAAGAAAAAAUGACUUCCAAUUAAGAGCAGCUUAAAGAGCUUCCUCACCACUGAAAUGAUAUAUAGAUAUAUACAAAACUAAUAAUGUACCUCAGGUUUUUUGCCUGUUAUUUCAUCUGGUAGUCUUAGACACUGAUUAAGAUCGAGUGUUCCAACUACUACUCGUUCUUCUCCAUUAUUAGUAUACUUACAUUCAGCACAUAAAUCUUCAGAUAAGCUUGAUAAUUGCGAUAAUGGAAGAGUAGCAUUUAUGCAAGAAACUCUUCUAAAGCCUGUCCUCUUACCAGCAAUACGCUCUUUUACUGCUUCAAACUCACGCUCCGCCAAGUACCUUUUAUGAUCUUGGAGGCCGUAAGAGGAAGGCGUGAACUCAUAGAAGGAGCGGACACGGAGACACGAGGCGGCCCAGAGCUCGUCCUCCGCCUCUGUUUCUGCUAUUAUGAGUGACGAUUUGUCAACCUCGUGGGGCGUGCACACCUGAGAGGCUGCGAUGGGUCGGAUGUGAAACCGAUGAGAUGUCGAUUGUUGAAGGAACGCAGUAGAAUUGAGGGAAUUACAGAAAUUUGGACAUGUAAUGGACAAGGAGAUGGUAAGAGGACUUGGAUAAGAGGAAAGGAUUGCCAUUCUUUCUUUCUUUUCUGCCUUCUGUUUUGGUCUUUGUAUUUUCGAAUUGGGUUAUCCGUUGCUUCGCGUUUCUUGUUA